UGAAGACUCUGCUUGACUAGCUGAGAGGAGGUGCAUGGCCGUCGUCAGUUCGUACUGUGAAGCAUCCUGUUAAGUCAGGCAACGAGCGAGACCCACGCCAACAGUUGCCAGCAUGUCCUCCGGGAUGGUGGGGACACUGUUGGGACCGCCUCUGCUAAAGAGGAGGAAGGAAUGGGGCAACGGUAGGUCAGCAUGCCCCGAAUUAUCCGGGCUACACGCGGGCUACAAUGGUCAGGACAAUGGGCAUCAACACCGAAAGGUGAAGGCAAUCUCUUAAACCUGUCCUUAGUUCGGAUUGUGGGCUGCAACUCGCCCACAUGAAGCUGGAAUCUGUAGUAAUCGCGUCUCAAAAUGGCGCGGUGAAUAUGUCCCUGCUCCUU
Molecule: ribosomal RNA, 380 nt
Filed under: uncultured Methanolinea sp.
Lineage: Archaea; Methanobacteriati; Methanobacteriota; Methanomicrobia; Methanomicrobiales; Methanoregulaceae
Description: bacterial SSU rRNA
Rfam family: Archaeal small subunit ribosomal RNA
Source: RNAcentral